RNAcentral lists this ribosomal RNA (504 nucleotides) under uncultured bacterium. RNAcentral's name for it is "partial 16S ribosomal RNA". It matches the Rfam family "Bacterial small subunit ribosomal RNA", at positions 29 to 523 of the family's 1533-position model. The record is from RNAcentral.
AUUGAACGCUGGCGGCAUGCCUUACACAUGCAAGUCGAACGGCAGCAUGGAGAGCUUGCUCUCUGAUGGCGAGUGGCGAACGGGUGAGUAAUGCAUCGGAACGUACCGUGUAAUGGGGGAUAACGUAGCGAAAGUUACGCUAAUACCGCAUACGACCUGCGGGUGAAAGCAGGGGCUCGCAAGACCUUGCGUUAUACGAGCGGCCGAUGUCAGAUUAGCUAGUUGGUGGGGUAAAGGCUCACCAAGGCGACGAUCAGUAGCGGGUCUGAGGGGAUGAUCCGGCAGACUGGGACUGAGAAACGGCCCAGACUCCUACGGGAGUCAGCAGUGGGGAAUUUUGGAGAAUGGGGGCAAGCCUGAUCCAGCCAGGCCGCGUGAGUGAAGAAGGCCUUCGGGUUGUAAAGCGCUUUCGGCCGGGAAGAAAUCGCACAGGCUAAUACUCUGUGUGGAUGACGGUGCCGGCAUAAGAAGCACCGGCUAACUACGUGCCAGCCGCCGCCGUAA